GCAAUAGUUGUUUUUUUAUUUUUAUUUUUUUCGUCUCUCCCAUAUUUCUUUUUCCGUCUCAUCUCUUCCAAAUUUCGCUGCCAAUUCCCUCUGGAAGAAACCCUAACGUUCGAAAAUAGAGAAAAAGGGUUGAAGAGCGUUUUUGGAUGGUGAAGGAAUUCCUGAGUUGAAACGGACGAUCGAUCCGAGUCGCCGUGGUUAUUUGCUCAAUCCUCCGAUGGGCGCUGCAGGUUCGAAGCUCGAGAAAGCUCUUGGCGAUCAGUUCCCCGANNNN
This 274-nucleotide long non-coding RNA is filed under the name Vitis vinifera (wine grape). RNAcentral's name for it is "long non-coding RNA (VVIN_LNC003755)". Lineage: Eukaryota; Viridiplantae; Streptophyta; Magnoliopsida; Vitales; Vitaceae. The record is from RNAcentral.